This 375-nucleotide ribosomal RNA is filed under the name uncultured organism. RNAcentral describes it as "partial 16S ribosomal RNA". It matches the Rfam family "Bacterial small subunit ribosomal RNA", at positions 527 to 896 of the family's 1533-position model. The record is from RNAcentral.
GUAGGUGGCAAGCGUUGCCCCGGAAUUAUUGGGCGUAAAGCGCGCGCAGGCGGUUCUUUAAGUCUGAUGUGAAAGCCCACGGCUCAACCGUGGAGGGUCAUUGGAAACUGGAGAACUUGAGUACAGAAGAGGAAAGCGGAAUUCCACGUGUAGCGGUGAAAUGCGUAGAGAUGUGGAGGAACACCAGUGGCGAAGGCGGCUUUCUGGUCUGUAACUGACGCUGAGGCGCGAAAGCGUGGGGAGCAAACAGGGAUUAGAUACCCUGGUAGUCCACGCCGUAAACGAUGAGUGCUAAGUGUUAGGGGGGUUUCCGCCCCCCUUAGUGCUGCAGCUAACGCAUUAAGCACUCCGCCUGGGGAUACGGCCGCAAGGCUG